Molecule: ribosomal RNA, 462 nt
Filed under: uncultured bacterium
Lineage: Bacteria
Description: bacterial SSU rRNA
Rfam family: Bacterial small subunit ribosomal RNA
Source: RNAcentral
ACGCUGGCGGCGUGCUUAACACAUGCAAGUCAAGGGGGCCCGCAAGGGUAACCGGCGAACGGGUGCGUAACACGUGAGCAAUCUGCCUCGAUGUGGGGGAUAGCCGGCCCAACGGCCGGGUAAUACCGCAUACGCUCUCCGGGUGGCAUCACCUGGGGAGGAAACAUUUUUGGCAUUGAGAGGAGCUCGCGGCCUAUCAGCUAGUUGGUGGGGUAACGGCCUACCAAGGCUUCGACGGGUAGCUGGUCUGAGAGGAUGGCCAGCCACAUUGGGACUGAGAUACGGCCCAGACUCCUACGGGAGGCAGCAGUGGGGAAUAUUGCGCAAUGGCCGAAAGGCUGACGCAGCGACGCCGCGUGGGGGAUGAAGCAUUUCGGUGUGUAAACCCCUGUUGCCCGGGACGAACAACUGGUUUUGACCAGUCUGACGGUACCGGGUGAGGAAGCACCGGCUAACUCCGUG